UACGUAGGGACCAAGCGUUGUUCGGAUUUACUGGGCGUAAAGAGCUCGUAGGCGGUCUGUCGCGUCGGAUGUGAAAAUCCAGGGCUCAACCCUGGACCUGCAUUCGAUACGGGCAGACUAGAGUUCGGUAGGGGAGACAGGAAUUCCUGGUGUAGCGGUGAAAUGCGCAGAUAUCAGGAAGAACACCCGUGGCGAAGGCGGCUCUCUGGGACGGUACUGACGCUGAGACGCGAAAGCGUGGGGAGCGAACAGG
This 253-nucleotide ribosomal RNA is filed under the name uncultured bacterium. RNAcentral's name for it is "partial 16S ribosomal RNA". It matches the Rfam family "Bacterial small subunit ribosomal RNA", at positions 524 to 776 of the family's 1533-position model. The record is from RNAcentral.